Molecule: ribosomal RNA, 468 nt
Filed under: uncultured bacterium
Lineage: Bacteria
Description: partial 16S ribosomal RNA
Rfam family: Bacterial small subunit ribosomal RNA
Source: RNAcentral
GACGAACGCUGGCGGCGUGCUUAACACAUGCAAGUCGAACGGAAAGGCCCUGCUUUUGUGGGCUGCUCGAGUGGCGAACGGGUGAGUAACACGUGAGUAACCUGCCCUUGACUUUGGGAUAACUUCAGGAAACUGGGGCUAAUACCGGAUAGGAGCUCCUGCUGCAGGGUGGGGGUUGGAAAGUUUCGGCGGUUGGGGAUGGACUCGCGGCUUAUCAGCUUGUUGGUGGGGUAGUGGCUGACCAAGGCUUUGACGGGUGGCCGGCCUGAGAGGGUGACCGGCCACAUUGGGACUGAGGUACGGCCCAGACUCCUACGGGAGGCAGCAGUGGGGAAUAUUGCACAAUGGGCGGAAGCCUGACGCAACCACGCCGCGUGCGGGAUGACGGCCUUCGCGUUGUAAACCGCUUUCGCCUGUGACGAAGCGUGAGUGACGGUAAUGGGUAAAGAAGCACCGGCUAACUACGUG